GCGCUUAUGGCGGAAUUGGUAGACGCGCCAGAUUCAGGAUCUGGUUGGACUCUUCUUGUGCAGGUUCAAGUCCUGCUAAGCGC
This 83-nucleotide transfer RNA is filed under the name Pseudomuriella schumacherensis. RNAcentral's name for it is "tRNA-Leu". It matches the Rfam family "tRNA". Rfam says of the family: Transfer RNA (tRNA) molecules are approximately 80 nucleotides in length. The record is from RNAcentral. Lineage: Eukaryota; Viridiplantae; Chlorophyta; Chlorophyceae; Sphaeropleales; Pseudomuriellaceae.